RNAcentral lists this long non-coding RNA (470 nucleotides) under Astyanax mexicanus (Mexican tetra). RNAcentral describes it as "lncRNA (ENSAMXG00005002720.1)". Lineage: Eukaryota; Metazoa; Chordata; Actinopteri; Characiformes; Acestrorhamphidae. The record is from RNAcentral.
AUUGCCAAGGUUGGGAAAAAGCACCAAUGCUUUCAAUCUCCAAUGAAUAUAUCAUUCAAGAUUAUUUUUUCUCACUCUUGUUCAUUUGUCUGGACUAUUUGUGGAGCUGUGGACUCUUCAUUAACUGGACUGAGAUCAUCACUGGAGGUCCACAGGUUUUAAAUGCAGGAUUCUCCUGCCACCUGCUGGUAAGCACUUCCAAGCUCUUCUUAAGAUUCUUUCACAAGAUUCAUUCAAAGACUGUGGACUCUUAUCGAAGCUUAUGUACCGGAUUUUAUUGUUAAAACAGAUAAAAGUAGGAAUAUACAAAAUGUUCACAGCCCUAAAUAUUUCAUUUACCUGUAUUGUAUUGUAUAUUAUUUAUAGGCAGUCUGUUAGUCAGCUAAAAGACUACUAAUUUAGAGUGAGUGGGCGGGGCUCAAACUCUGUAGUCUGAAUAAACAUAUGAAACAUCCUGUGAUUUUGGAUCA